AACGAACGCUGGCGGCAGGCCUAACACAUGCAAGUCGAGCGCCCCGCAAGGGGAGCGGCGGACGGGUGAGUAACGCGUGGGAAUAUGCCCUUUGCUACGGAAUAGUCUCGGGAAACUGGGGGUAAUACCGUAUACGCCCUUUGGGGGAAAGAUUUAUCGGCGAAGGAUUAGCCCGCGUUGGAUUAGGUAGUUGGUGGGGUAAUGGCCUACCAAGCCGACGAUCCAUAGCUGGUUUGAGAGGAUGAUCAGUCACACUGGGACUGAGACACGGCCCAGACUCCUACGGGAGGCAGCAGUGGGGAAUCUUAGACAAUGGGGGCAACCCUGAUCUGGCCAUGCCGCGUGAGUGAUGAAGGCCUUAGGGUUGUAAAGCUCUUUCAGCUGGGAAGAUAAUGACGGUACCAGCAGAAGAAGCCCCGGCUAACUCCGUG
RNAcentral lists this ribosomal RNA (431 nucleotides) under uncultured bacterium. RNAcentral's name for it is "partial 16S ribosomal RNA". It matches the Rfam family "Bacterial small subunit ribosomal RNA", at positions 29 to 507 of the family's 1533-position model. The record is from RNAcentral.